AGGGGAGCGUAGGCGGCUGAUUAAGUCAGCGGUGAAAGGUAGCAGCUUAACUGUUUUACAUGCCGUUGAUACUGGUUAGCUUGAGUUGACAGAAGGCAGAUAGAAUUCCUGGUGUAGCGGUGAAAUGCUUAGAUACCAGGAGGAAUACCGAUUGCGAAGGCAGUCUGCUGCAGUCACACUGACGCUGAGGCUCGAAGGUGCGGGGAUCAAACAGGAUUAGAUACCCUAGU
RNAcentral lists this ribosomal RNA (230 nucleotides) under uncultured bacterium. RNAcentral's name for it is "partial 16S ribosomal RNA". It matches the Rfam family "Bacterial small subunit ribosomal RNA", at positions 563 to 791 of the family's 1533-position model. The record is from RNAcentral.